CCUACGGGUGGCUGCAGUGAGGAAUAUUGGUCAAUGGGCGGAAGCCUGAACCAGCCAAGUAGCGUGCGGGAUGAAGGCCCUACGGGUCGUAAACCGCUUUUGCACGGGGAUAACACCCUCCACUUGUGGAGGUCUGCAGGUACCGUGCGAAUAAGGGCCGGCAAAUUCCGUGCCAGCAGCCGCGGUAAUACGGAAGGCCCGAGCGUUAUCCGGAUUCAUUGGGGUAAAAGGGAGCGUAGGCGGGCGGUCAAGUCAGUGGUAAAAUCGCGCGGCUCAACCGCGCCCCGCAGUUGAAACUGGACGGCUUGAGUUCAGAAGAGGCAGGAGGAAUUCGUGGUGUAGCGGUGAAAUGCAUAGAGAUCAGGAGGAACACCGAUUGCGAAGGCAGCCUGCUGGAGUGCGACUGACGCUGAGGCUCGAAGGUGCGGGUAGCAAACAGGAUUAGAUACCCUAGUAGUC
RNAcentral lists this ribosomal RNA (459 nucleotides) under uncultured bacterium. RNAcentral describes it as "partial 16S ribosomal RNA". It matches the Rfam family "Bacterial small subunit ribosomal RNA", at positions 338 to 795 of the family's 1533-position model. The record is from RNAcentral.